CCUACGGGAGGCAGCAGUGAGGAAUAUUGGUCAAUGGGCGUAAGCCUGAACCAGCCAAGUCGCGUGAGGGAUGAAGGUUCUAUGGAUCGUAAACUUCUUUUAUAAAGGAAUAAAGUGAGGCACGUGUGCCUUUUUGUAUGUACUUUAUGAAUAAGGAUCGGCUAACUCCGUGCCAGCAGCCGCGGUAAUACGGAGGAUCCGAGCGUUAUCCGGAUUUAUUGGGUUUAAAGGGAGCGUAGAUGGGUUGUUAAGUCAGUUGGGAAAGUGUGGGGCUCAACCGUAAAAGUGCAUUUGAUACUGGCAGUCUUGAGUAGAGGAGAGGUAGGCGGAAUUCGUGGUGUAGCGGUGAAAUGCUUAGAUAUCACGAAGAACUCCGAUUGCGAAGGCAGCUUACUGAACUGCCACUGACAUUGAUGCGCGAAAGUGUGGGUAUCAAACAGGAUUAGAUACCCCAGUAGUC
This 460-nucleotide ribosomal RNA is filed under the name uncultured bacterium. RNAcentral's name for it is "partial 16S ribosomal RNA". It matches the Rfam family "Bacterial small subunit ribosomal RNA", at positions 338 to 795 of the family's 1533-position model. The record is from RNAcentral.